RNAcentral lists this unclassified non-coding RNA (98 nucleotides) under 'Medicago sativa' phytoplasma ww18815. RNAcentral's name for it is "partial 16S-23S ribosomal RNA intergenic spacer". The record is from RNAcentral. Lineage: Bacteria; Bacillati; Mycoplasmatota; Mollicutes; Acholeplasmatales; Acholeplasmataceae.
AAGGAAAAAAAUCAUCUUCAGUUUUGAAAGACUUAGAUUAUAUAAGUUUUUCUUUUAGGUAAAUUUUUACCUUUUAAAGUUCUUUGAAAAGUAGAUAA